UGCUAUACUGCAAGUCGAGCGAACAGACGAAGUGCUUGCACUUCUGACGUUAGCGGCGAACGGGUGAGUAACACGUAAGGAAUCUACCUAUAAGCGGGGGAUAACAUUCGGAAACGGGUGCUAAUACCGCAUAAUAUCUUCUUCCGCAUGGAAGAAGAUUGAAAGACGGCUCUGCUGUCACUUAUAGAUGACCUUGCGGUGCAUUAGUUAGUUGGUGGGGUAAUGGCCUACCAAGACGAUGAUGCAUAGCCGACCUGAGAGGGUGAUCGGCCACAUUGGGACUGAGACACGGCCCAAACUCCUACGGGAGGCAGCAGUAGGGAAUCUUCCGCAAUGGGCGAAAGCCUGACGGAGCAAUGCCGCGUGAGUGAAGAAGGCCUUCGGGUCGUAAAACUCUGUUAUAAGAGAAGAACAAAUUGUAGAGUAACUGCUACAGUCUUGACGGUAUCUUAUCAGAAAGCCACGGCUAACUACGUGCCAGCAGCCGCGGUAAUACGUAGGUGGCAAGCGUUGUCCGGAUUUAUUGGGCGUAAAGGGAGCGCAGGUGGUUUCUUAAGUCUGAUGUGAAAGCCCACGGCUUAACCGUGGAGGGUCAUUGGAAACUGGGGAACUUGAGUACAGAAGAGGAAUGUGGAACUCCAUGUGUAGCGGUGGAAUGCGUAGAUAUAUGGAAGAACACCAGUGGCGAAGGCGACAUUCUGGUCUGUUACUGACACUGAGGCUCGAAAGCGUGGGGAGCAAACAGGAUUAGAUACCCUGGUAGUCCACGCCGUAAACGAUGAGUGCUAGGUGUUGGAGGGUUUCCGCCCUUCAGUGCCGCAGUUAACGCAUUAAGCACUCGCCUGGGGA
This 849-nucleotide ribosomal RNA is filed under the name Enterococcus sp. C113. RNAcentral describes it as "bacterial SSU rRNA". It matches the Rfam family "Bacterial small subunit ribosomal RNA", at positions 45 to 879 of the family's 1533-position model. The record is from RNAcentral. Lineage: Bacteria; Bacillati; Bacillota; Bacilli; Lactobacillales; Enterococcaceae.